This 182-nucleotide non-coding RNA is filed under the name Sporolactobacillus inulinus. RNAcentral's name for it is "Lysine sequence". It matches the Rfam family "Lysine riboswitch aptamer". Rfam says of the family: Riboswitches are metabolite binding domains within certain messenger RNAs that serve as precision sensors for their corresponding targets. Allosteric rearrangement of mRNA structure is mediated by ligand binding, and this results in modulation of gene expression. RNAcentral also lists the same sequence under 1 other name. The record is from Rfam by way of RNAcentral. Lineage: Bacteria; Bacillati; Bacillota; Bacilli; Caryophanales; Sporolactobacillaceae.
AGAGGGGGUAGAGGCGCGGCAGUUAUGAGAAGUACAUCUGAGGCGAAGGGACGUCGGACGGUGUGCGUAAGGAACUGUUGCCGAAGCGGGUUCGGAUCCCUUGCCGAAUCGGUUGGGUUCGUUUCCGAAAGGAGCGAAACUGUCACAUGCGAGCAGUUUGCGUGUGGUGUGCUAUCGGGGAA